RNAcentral lists this small RNA (738 nucleotides) under Pongo abelii (Sumatran orangutan). RNAcentral's name for it is "processed transcript". The record is from RNAcentral. Lineage: Eukaryota; Metazoa; Chordata; Mammalia; Primates; Hominidae.
CCAGGUGGAGCCACUGAAGCCGGAGCAUGCCGGGCAGGGGUCAGGCCCUGGCGGGGCGAGGGGUCCUCCUUGGUUCCUUGUCGCCGGAUGCCCGUCCUCUCUCUCAUCUUCCCGCCUGCCGCCACGGCCUUUCCGUGGGGUCCCGAUUAUUUUCCUUUGUGCUUCUACCCACUGAAGCUGGGCUGUCGCCAAGGUCGGCCGCGUGCCCGCCUUGGGUGCUCCCACAGCCCGGGAGGUGCAGCUGCGUCCCCAGACCCUCGCGGGGGCCUCCAGCUGUAGGCAGCCUCUGGGCAGGAGGGGCUCCUGCCUGUUCAGGCCACCCCGGCUUCCUUGGCCUGUGGGUCCAAUCUCCUCUGGGCUCUUGACUACCCAGUGUGGCUCCUUCUCCCAGGUGGGAGCGACACAGCGAGGACCUUAUCCCUCCCCAUCACCACUCUGGCAAAGUCAAGCCGCUGUUUAUUUUUUGUAAGUUUUUAUUGUAGCGAUGGGGUCUCGCCAUAUUACCCACGCUGGUCUGAACUCCUGGGCUCAAGUGAUCCUUCUUCGUCGGCCUCCCAAAGUGCUAGCAUUAUAGAUGUUGAAGAAGCCUCAGCGGAGGCGAUACGGCCUCCUCGCCAACACUGAGGACCCCACCGAGAUGGCCUCGCUGGACAGCGACGAGGAGACGGUCUUUGAAUCCCGGAAUCUGAGAUGAUGCUGAGCCAGGGAGGCCAUGAGGGAAGGACAGGAGAUGGGGCC